RNAcentral lists this ribosomal RNA (247 nucleotides) under Xylariales sp. RNAcentral's name for it is "partial small subunit ribosomal RNA". The stretch from base 1 to 105 matches the Rfam family "Eukaryotic small subunit ribosomal RNA", at positions 1334 to 1461 of the family's 1831-position model. Lineage: Eukaryota; Fungi; Ascomycota; Sordariomycetes; Xylariales. The record is from RNAcentral.
AACGAGACCUUAACCUGCUAAAUAGCCCGUAUUGCUUUGGCAGUACGCUGGCUUCUUAGAGGGACUAUCGGCUCAAGCCGAUGGAAGUUUGAGGCAAUAACAGGUUGAAUUCACAGGCCUGUAAUAGUAUGCCUCGUUAAAUAUAAUGCUAGUCUAAUAUCUUAAUCUCUUUGGAAGAAUGUCUUCCGUUAUCGGGAAGAGAUGCACAGCGUUUACUGCUGUGCUUGAUAUAGGCGACACUACCUGG